RNAcentral lists this small RNA (359 nucleotides) under Priestia megaterium. Its description in RNAcentral is "cspA". It matches the Rfam family "cspA thermoregulator", at positions 78 to 428 of the family's 428-position model. The record is from RNAcentral. Lineage: Bacteria; Bacillati; Bacillota; Bacilli; Caryophanales; Bacillaceae.
AGAAGAAUUAUUUUUGUUCGGUAAAGAUUGAUAAGUUAAAUAACUUUCGUCUGUAGAUUUGGGCAAGGAUAGUAACACAAUGUGUGCGUGUCACACUAGGAGGCAACAAUUAUGGAACAAGGUAAAGUAAAAUGGUUUAACGCAGAAAAAGGUUUUGGAUUCAUCGAACGCGAAAACGGAGACGAUGUAUUUGUACAUUUCUCAGCAAUCCAAAGCGAAGGCUUCAAAUCUUUAGACGAAGGUCAAGCAGUUACAUUUGACGUAGAACAAGGUCAACGCGGCCCUCAAGCUUCUAACGUUCAAAAAGCUUAAUCCAUCAUAAAUAUAAAAAGACAGACUCCAUGGAGUCUGUCUUUUUC